This 425-nucleotide ribosomal RNA is filed under the name uncultured prokaryote. RNAcentral's name for it is "bacterial SSU rRNA". It matches the Rfam family "Bacterial small subunit ribosomal RNA", at positions 355 to 774 of the family's 1533-position model. The record is from RNAcentral.
UAACGAAUAUUGGGCAAUGGGCGAAAGCCUGACCCAGCAAUGCCGCGUGCAGGACGAAGUCCUUCGGGAUGUAAACUGCUGUCAGGGGUCCGCAAGCGAAGGGGUCCAACAGGCCCUGGAGUUGAGCAGCCCCAGAGGAAGCCUCGACUAACUCUGUGCCAGCAGUCGCGGUAAGACAGAGGAGGCAAGCGUUGUUCGGAAUCACUGGGCUUAAAGCGCGUGUAGGCGGCUUAGAAAGUGUCGUGUGAAAUCCCGCGGCUCAACCGCGGAACUGCACGGCAAACUACUUGGCUUGAGGUCGGUAGAGGUGCCUGGAACUCUAGGUGGAGCGGUGAAAUGCGUAGAUAUCUAGAGGAACGCCAGAAGCGAAAGCGGGGCACUGGGCUCUAACUGACGCUGAGGCUCGAAAGUGUGGGGAGCAAACA